This 253-nucleotide ribosomal RNA is filed under the name uncultured bacterium. RNAcentral's name for it is "partial 16S ribosomal RNA". It matches the Rfam family "Bacterial small subunit ribosomal RNA", at positions 524 to 776 of the family's 1533-position model. The record is from RNAcentral.
UACGUAGGGCGCAAGCGUUGUCCGGAAUUAUUGGGCGUAAAGAGCUCGUAGGCGGUCUGUCGCGUCCGUUGUGAAAACUCGAGGCUCAACCUCGGGCUUGCAGUGGAUACGGGCAGACUAGAGUGCGGUAGGGGUGACUGGAAUUCCUGGUGUAGCGGUGGAAUGCGCAGAUAUCAGGAGGAACACCGAUGGCGAAGGCAGGUCACUGGGCCGCAACUGACGCUGAGGAGCGAAAGCAUGGGGAGCGAACAGG